GGCCGUAUAUCUCGAAGGCAGAGCACUCCUCUCUAACUAAGGAGAAGAUCCAGGUUCAAGUCUUGGUGGGGUCG
Non-coding RNA from Colletotrichum liriopes, 74 nucleotides. Lineage: Eukaryota; Fungi; Ascomycota; Sordariomycetes; Glomerellales; Glomerellaceae. The record is from the annotation of a GenBank genome assembly.